AUGAACUUCUUGAAAAAUUUCUAGGAAAAAAUAAUACUUGGCAGAAGUGAAGAGCUAAUUACAUGGAUAACCACUUUACCUUGGUGGCAAUCAACUGUGUGACUUUGUUGACAAUCUUUAAACAAUCUACUGCCCCCUGAAGAAAAUUUAAGAAUGACAGUGAUUUAAAUAAGGAUUACUGAGGACCCUGAAGGUACAGAACAGAUAUUGCCUACACAUAGAAGAAUGUUUAACACAGAACAGCCAUGACCGCACAUUGGAAAAAAGACUUAAAUGAAAACAGCAGUAAUUUCUCUUAAACUCUGCCAGAAAGCUG
Molecule: long non-coding RNA, 316 nt
Filed under: Vombatus ursinus (common wombat)
Lineage: Eukaryota; Metazoa; Chordata; Mammalia; Diprotodontia; Vombatidae
Description: lncRNA (ENSVURG00010011285.1)
Source: RNAcentral